This 497-nucleotide ribosomal RNA is filed under the name uncultured bacterium. Its description in RNAcentral is "partial 16S ribosomal RNA". It matches the Rfam family "Bacterial small subunit ribosomal RNA", at positions 28 to 507 of the family's 1533-position model. The record is from RNAcentral.
GAUGAACGCUGGCGGCGUGCCUAAUACAUGCAAGUCGAGCGAACAGAUGAGGAGCUUGCUCCUCUGACGUUAGCGGCGGACGGGUGAGUAACACGUGGAUAACCUACCUAUAAGACUGGGAUAACUUCGGGAAACCGGAGCUAAUACCGGAUAAUAUAUUGAACCGCAUGGUUCAAUAGUGAAAGACGGUUUUGCUGUCACUUAUAGAUGGAUCCGCGCCGCAUUAGCUAGUUGGUAAGGUAACGGCUUACCAAGGCAACGAUGCGUAGCCGACCUGAGAGGGUGAUAGGCCACACUGGGACUGAGACACGGUCCAGACUCCUACGGGAGGCAGCAGUAGGGAAUCUUCCGCAAUGGGCGAAAGCCUGACGGAGCAACGCCGCGUGAGUGAUGAAGGUCUUCGGAUCGUAAAACUCUGUUAUUAGGGAAGAACAAAUGUGUAAGUAACUAUGCACGUCUUGACGGUACCUAAUCAGAAAGCCACGGCUAACUACGUG